GACGAACGCUGGCGGCGUGCUUAACACAUGCAAGUCGAACGGAAAGGCCCUGCUUUUGUGGGGUGCUCGAGUGGCGAACGGGUGAGUAACACGUGAGUAACCUGCCCUUGACUUUGGGAUAACUUCAGGAAACUGGGGCUAAUACCGGAUAGGAACUCCUGCUGCAUGGGGGGGGUUGGAAAGUUUCGGCGGUUGGGGAUGGACUCGCGGCUUAUCAGCUUGUUGGUGGGGUAGUGGCUUACCAAGGCUUUGACGGGUAGCCGGCCUGAGAGGGUGACCGGCCACAUUGGGACUGAGAUACGGCCCAGACUCCUACGGGAGGCAGCAGUGGGGAAUAUUGCACAAUGGGCGGAAGCCUGAUGCAGCAACGCCGCGUGCGGGAUGACGGCCUUCGGGUUGUAAACCGCUUUCGCCUGUGACGAAGCGUGAGUGACGGUAAUGGGUAAAGAAGCACCGGCUAACUACGUG
Molecule: ribosomal RNA, 468 nt
Filed under: uncultured bacterium
Lineage: Bacteria
Description: partial 16S ribosomal RNA
Rfam family: Bacterial small subunit ribosomal RNA
Source: RNAcentral